This 902-nucleotide ribosomal RNA is filed under the name uncultured bacterium. RNAcentral describes it as "bacterial SSU rRNA". It matches the Rfam family "Bacterial small subunit ribosomal RNA", at positions 8 to 916 of the family's 1533-position model. The record is from RNAcentral.
AGAGUUUGAUCAUGGCUCAGGACGAACGCUGGCGGCGUGCCUAAUGCAUGCAAGUCGAGCGGGCUACGAUCUUCGGAUUGUAGCUUAGCGGCGAACGGGUGAGUAACACGUAGGUAAUCUACCCUUCAGAGGAGGACAACCUCAGGAAACUGAGGCUAAACCUUCAUACGUUCACUGGUAGGGAUACUGGUGAAGAAAGAGUUACCUUAGUGGUAGCUGCUGAAGGAUGAGCCUGCGGCCCAUCAGGUAGUUGGUGAGGUAACGGCUCACCAAGCCGAAGACGGGUAACCGGUCUGAGAGGAUGUCCGGUCACACUGGGACUGAGACACGGCCCAGACUCCUACGGGAGGCAGCAGCAGGGAAUCUUGGGCAAUGGGCGAAAGCCUGACCCAGCGACGCCGCGUGGAGGAAGAAGUCCUUCGGGGCGUAAACUCCUGGACUGGGGGACGAGGAAGGACGGUACCCCAGUAGAAAGGGACGGCUAACUACGUGCCAGCAGCCGCGGUAAAACGUAGGUCCCGAGCGUUGUUCGGAUUCACUGGGUGUAAAGGGCGCGUAGGUGGUUGUCUGUGUCUCAUGUGAAAACUCAGGGCUCAACUCUGAGAUUGCGUGGGAAACUAGGCAGCUAGAGGACGGUAGAGGGGAGUGGAAUUCCCGGUGUAGCGGUAAAAUGCGUAGAUAUCGGGAGGAACACCGGUGGCGAAGGCGGCUCUCUGGGCCGAUCCUGACGCUGAGGCGCGAAAGCUAGGGGAGCGAACCGGGUUAGAUACCCGGGUAGUCCUAGCCGUAAACGAUGGGUGCUAGGUGUUGGGGGGUAAAGACCCUUCAGUGCCGAAGCCAACGCGAUAAGCAUCCCACCUGGGGAGUACGGCCGCAAGGUUGAAACUUAAAGGAAUUGACGG